Molecule: ribosomal RNA, 280 nt
Filed under: uncultured bacterium
Lineage: Bacteria
Description: partial 16S ribosomal RNA
Rfam family: Bacterial small subunit ribosomal RNA
Source: RNAcentral
AACGAACGCUGGCGGCAGGCCUAACACAUGCAAGUCGAGCGCAGUCCUACGGGACCGAGCGGCGGACGGGUUAGUAACGCGUGGGAACGUACCCUUUUCUACGGAAUAGCCUCGGGAAACUGAGAGUAAUACCGUAUAAGCCCUUCGGGGGAAAGAUUUAUCGGGAAAGGAUCGGCCCGCGUUAGAUUAGAUAGUUGGUGGGGUAACGGCCUACCAAGUCUACGAUCUAUAGCUGGUUUUAGAGGAUGAUCAGCAACACUGGGACUGAGACACGGCCCAG